CAUAAAUAUCUUUGAAAUUUCAGUACUGCGCAAUGACACUGUCCAUUUCACUUUUGUCAAAACCAACUACAAUUGUACUACUCAUUAAAAAUUUAAAGCGAGCUUGUCGUGUGAACGCUCUCACUGCGCCCACGGAGGGGGGGCGACGCCCCAAGUAGGCGGGACAUUGACAACGCAAGGUGAACUAAACUUUUCUCAUCCACACAGCAGAGGAUGUAUCUAAAGCAAAACAUGGCACAUAUCGACUAGCACAGAACUUAUUGGCUAAGCAUACUUAGCAUACGAUACGCAACGGACACCGUAGACGCUGAAAAACAUUCGAGCCGAUAAAUAAUCCGCACAGCGUCCACAAAGUCAUAAUGUGCAAACGCCAAGCUCUCCGCGUUUGGCUGACACCGGCCAGCUGCGGCGCUGCCACUCUGCUAGCUGAGCGAUUUACAAUUUAUUGUAUGUAAAAUG
Long non-coding RNA from Cydia splendana, 459 nucleotides. RefSeq lists it as uncharacterized. The record is from RefSeq and is a predicted model, not a curated record. The transcript has 3 exons. NCBI's taxonomy places the organism in Eukaryota, Metazoa, Arthropoda, Insecta, Lepidoptera, Tortricidae.